RNAcentral lists this ribosomal RNA (508 nucleotides) under uncultured Glomus. Its description in RNAcentral is "SSU rRNA". It matches the Rfam family "Eukaryotic small subunit ribosomal RNA", at positions 569 to 1078 of the family's 1831-position model. The record is from RNAcentral. Lineage: Eukaryota; Fungi; Glomeromycota; Glomeromycetes; Glomerales; Glomeraceae.
AGCAGCCGCGGUAAUUCCAGCUCCAAUAGCGUAUAUUAAAGUUGUUGCAGUUAAAAAGCUCGUAGUUGAAUUUCGGGGUUAGUAGGCUGGUCGUGCCACUGGUAUGUACUGGUCUUACUGACUUCUCCUUUCUGAAGAACUGUAAUGCCAUUAAUUUGGUGUUGCAGGGAAUCAGGACUGUUACUUUGAAAAAAUUAGAGUGUUUAAAGCAGGCUAACGCUUGAAUACAUUAGCAUGGAAUAAUGAAAUAGGACGUUCGAUCCUAUUUUGUUGGUUUCUAGGAUUGACGUAAUGAUUAAUAGGGAUAGUUGGGGGCAUUAGUAUUCAAUUGUCAGAGGUGAAAUUCUUGGAUUUAUUGAAGACUAACUACUGCGAAAGCAUUUGCCAAGGAUGUUUUCAUUAAUCAAGAACGAAAGUUAGGGGAUCGAAGACGAUCAGAUACCGUCGUAGUCUUAACCAUAAACUAUGCCGACUAGGGAUCGGAUGAUGUUAAUUUUUUAAUGACUCA